UGGGGAAUAUUGGGCAAUGGGCGAAAGCCUGACCCAGCAACGCCGCGUGAAGGAAGAAGGUUUUCGGAUCGUAAACUUCUAUCCUUGGUGAAGAUAAUGACGGUAGCCAAGAAGGAAGCCCCGGCUAACUACGUGCCAGCAGCCGCGGUAAUACGUAGGGGGCAAGCGUUGUCCGGAAUGAUUGGGCGUAAAGGGCGCGUAGGCGGCCAACUAAGUCUGGAGUGAAAGUCCUGCUUUUAAGGUGGGAAUUGCUUUGGAAACUGGAUGGCUUGAGUGCAGGAGAGGUAAGCGGAAUUCCCGGUGUAGCGGUGAAAUGCGUAGAGAUCGGGAGGAACACCAGUGGCGAAGGCGGCUUACUGGACUGUAACUGACGCUGAGGCGCGAAAGUGUGGGGAGCAAACAGG
Molecule: ribosomal RNA, 404 nt
Filed under: uncultured bacterium
Lineage: Bacteria
Description: bacterial SSU rRNA
Rfam family: Bacterial small subunit ribosomal RNA
Source: RNAcentral